UGGGGAAUUUUGGACAAUGGGGGAAACCCUGAUACAGCCAUCCCGCGUGUGCGAUGAAGGCCUUCGGGUUGUAAAUCACUUUUGGCAGGAAAGAAACGUCAUGGGUUAAUACCCCGUGACACUGACGGUACCUGCAGAAUAAGCACCGGCUAACUACGUGCCAGCAGCCGCGGUAAUACGUAGGGUGCAAGCGUUAAUCGGAAUUACUGGGCGUAAAGCGUGCGCAGGCGGUUCGGAAAGAAAGAUGUGAAAUCCCAGAGCUCAACUUUGGAACUGCAUUUUUAACUACCGGGCUAGAGUGUGUCAGAGGGAGGUGGAAUUCCGCGUGUAGCAGUGAAAUGCGUAGAUAUGCGGAGGAACACCGAUGGCGAAGGCAGCCUCCUGGGAUAACACUGACGCUCAUGCACGAAAGCGUGGGGAGCAAACAGG
RNAcentral lists this ribosomal RNA (429 nucleotides) under Acidobacteriota bacterium. Its description in RNAcentral is "Acidobacteria bacterium partial 16S ribosomal RNA". It matches the Rfam family "Bacterial small subunit ribosomal RNA", at positions 355 to 776 of the family's 1533-position model. The record is from RNAcentral. Lineage: Bacteria; Pseudomonadati; Acidobacteriota.